RNAcentral lists this ribosomal RNA (553 nucleotides) under Bifidobacterium longum subsp. infantis. Its description in RNAcentral is "bacterial SSU rRNA". It matches the Rfam family "Bacterial small subunit ribosomal RNA", at positions 146 to 713 of the family's 1533-position model. The record is from RNAcentral. Lineage: Bacteria; Bacillati; Actinomycetota; Actinomycetes; Bifidobacteriales; Bifidobacteriaceae.
UCUCCUGGAAACGGGUGGUAAUGCCGGAUGCUCCAGUUGAUCGCAUGGUCUUCUGGGAAAGCUUUCGCGGUAUGGGAUGGGGUCGCGUCCUAUCAGCUUGACGGCGGGGUAACGGCCCACCGUGGCUUCGACGGGUAGCCGGCCUGAGAGGGCGACCGGCCACAUUGGGACUGAGAUACGGCCCAGACUCCUACGGGAGGCAGCAGUGGGGAAUAUUGCACAAUGGGCGCAAGCCUGAUGCAGCGACGCCGCGUGAGGGAUGGAGGCCUUCGGGUUGUAAACCUCUUUUAUCGGGGAGCAAGCGAGAGUGAGUUUACCCGUUGAAUAAGCACCGGCUAACUACGUGCCAGCAGCCGCGGUAAUACGUAGGGUGCAAGCGUUAUCCGGAAUUAUUGGGCGUAAAGGGCUCGUAGGCGGUUCGUCGCGUCCGGUGUGAAAGUCCAUCGCUUAACGGUGGAUCCGCGCCGGGUACGGGCGGGCUUGAGUGCGGUAGGGGAGACUGGAAUUCCCGGUGUAACGGUGGAAUGUGUAGAUAUCGGAAAAGAACACCAAA